GCAGAAUCUCCCUUGUAUUCCGUCGAAAUCCAAACAUUCCUUGACGGACGGCGUUCUGCCUCCGCCGCGGCCAGAUCGAUCUUCCGAGCGACGUUGGCUCGGGUCGCUUUAGAUUCCGGCCGAUUUUCCUCUCCAUAGAAAUCAGCUCGGUCAAUAUUUGGCGCCGCCUCUAGAAGAUGCUCAUUCAUCCCCUCUCUCCGACAUUUUAGGCGAAGAGCUUGUAAUUGUACUGCCAAGAUGAGUGCGAAUCGAGCCAAGGAUUUGGGGCUUCCAUUGAUGAAUCUCGUUAGGUUUAGAGGAAUACCAAUCUUGCAGCAGCUCCAUCUGGAAGAACAGCUCCUCAGAACAUUCUCUGGUAAUUGGUGCAUCAUAAACGAUGGAACGAAUGUCCCUACAGUUGUCAUGGGAGUGUCGGGGUACCGGUUAUUAAAAGGUUUAGCGGAGGUGGAACUGUGAUAGUUGACAAGGAUACCGUGUUUGUCAGUUUGAUUUGCAACAAAGAUGAUGUUCCUGGUGUCCAGCCUUAUCCUCGUUCU
Tarenaya hassleriana is the source of this 536-nucleotide long non-coding RNA. RefSeq lists it as uncharacterized. The transcript has 3 exons. NCBI's taxonomy places the organism in Eukaryota, Viridiplantae, Streptophyta, Magnoliopsida, Brassicales, Cleomaceae. The record is from RefSeq and is a predicted model, not a curated record.